RNAcentral lists this ribosomal RNA (343 nucleotides) under uncultured Flavobacteriaceae bacterium. RNAcentral describes it as "bacterial SSU rRNA". It matches the Rfam family "Bacterial small subunit ribosomal RNA", at positions 137 to 478 of the family's 1533-position model. The record is from RNAcentral. Lineage: Bacteria; Pseudomonadati; Bacteroidota; Flavobacteriia; Flavobacteriales; Flavobacteriaceae.
UAGAGUAUAGCCCAGAGAAAUUUGGAUUAAUCCUCUAUAACAUCUUUUAAUUUCAUGAUUUUAAGAUUAAAGUUUUAACGGUAAAAGAUGGGCAUGCGUCCUAUUAGUUUGUAGGUGAGGUAACGGCUCACCUAGACUACGAUAGGUAGGGGCCCUGAGAGGGGGAUCCCCCACACUGGUACUGAGACACGGACCAGACUCCUACGGGAGGCAGCAGUAAGGAAUAUUGGACAAUGGACGAAAGUCUGAUCCAGCCAUGCCGCGUGCAGGAUGACAGCCCUACGGGUUGUAAACUGCUUUUAUACAGGAAGAAACACUCCGACGUGUCGGAGCUUGACGGUAC